CCUACGGGAGGCAGCAGUGGGGAAUUUUGGACAAUGGGGGCAACCCUGAUCCAGCCAUUCCGCGUGAGUGAAGAAGGCCUUCGGGUUGUAAAGCUCUUUUGUCGGGGACGAAACGGUUACGAUUAAUACUCGUGACAACUGACGGUACCCGAAGAAUAAGCACCGGCUAACUACGUGCCAGCAGCCGCGGUAAUACGUAGGGUGCGAGCGUUAAUCGGAAUUACUGGGCGUAAAGCGUGCGCAGGCGGUUUUGUAAGCCAGAUGUGAAAUCCCCGGGCUUAACCUGGGAAUGGCAUUUGGGACUGCAAGGCUAGAGUAUGGCAGAGGAGACUAGAAUUUCUGGUGUAGCAGUGAAAUGCGUAGAUAUCAGAAGGAAUACCGAUGGCGAAGGCAGGUCUCUGGGUCAAUACUGACGCUACAUGCACGAAAGCGUGGGGAGCAAACAGGAUUAGAUACCCUGGUAGUCCACGCCCUAAACGAUGCCAACUGGUUGUUGGGAGAUUUAUUCUCUUAGUAACGAAGCUAACGCGUGAAGUUGACCGCCUGGGGAUACGGUCGCAAGNUUAAAACUCAAAGAAUUGACGGCNGAGAGNGACGAGACGACGACGAGGGAGAGG
Molecule: ribosomal RNA, 617 nt
Filed under: uncultured bacterium
Lineage: Bacteria
Description: bacterial SSU rRNA
Rfam family: Bacterial small subunit ribosomal RNA
Source: RNAcentral